RNAcentral lists this ribosomal RNA (332 nucleotides) under uncultured bacterium. Its description in RNAcentral is "bacterial SSU rRNA". It matches the Rfam family "Bacterial small subunit ribosomal RNA", at positions 568 to 898 of the family's 1533-position model. The record is from RNAcentral.
AGCGUAGGCGGAAUCGUAAGUUAGGAGUUUAAUACGUAGGCUUAACCUGCGGCUUGCUCUUAAGACUGCAAUUCUUGAGUAUGGGAGAGGGUGAUGGAAUUCCAGGUGUAGCGGUGGAAUGCGUAGAUAUCUGGAAGAACACCAGUAGCGAAGGCGGUCACCUGGCCCAAUACUGACGCUGAGGCUCGAAAGCUAGGGGAGCAAACAGGAUUAGAUACCCUGGUAGUCCUAGCCGUAAACGAUGGACACUAGUUGCCGGAGGAGUCAAUCUUUUCGGUGACGAAGCUAACGCAUUAAGUGUCCCGCCUGGGGAGUACGCUCGCAAGGGUGAA